Molecule: ribosomal RNA, 252 nt
Filed under: uncultured bacterium
Lineage: Bacteria
Description: partial 16S ribosomal RNA
Rfam family: Bacterial small subunit ribosomal RNA
Source: RNAcentral
UACGAAGGGGGCUAGCGUUGCUCGGAAUUACUGGGCGUAAAGCGCACGUAGGCGGUCUUUUAAGUCGGGGGUGAAAUCCUGGAGCUCAACUCCAGAACUGCCUCGAUACUGGAAGACUCGAGUCCGGGAGAGGUGAGUGGAACUGCGAGUGUAGAGGUGAAAUUCGUAGAUAUUCGCAAGAACACCAGUGGCGAAGGCGGCUCACUGGCCCGGUACUGACGCUGAGGUGCGAAAGCGUGGGGAGCAAACAGG